AUCUAAGUACCCCGAGGAAAAGAAAUCAACCGAGAUUCCGAAAGUAGCGGCGAGCGAAAUUGGACUAGCCCUUAAGCUUUACACGCGUUAGACGAACAGCCUGGAAAGGCCGACGAUACAGGGUGAUAGUCCCGUAGUUGACGACGUGUGUUCAGUGAAAUCGAGUAGGGCGGGACACGUGAUAUCCUGUCUGAAUAUGGGGGGACCAUCCUCCAAGGCUAAAUACUACUGACUGACCGAUAGUGAACCAGUACCGUGAGGGAAAGGCGAAAAGAACCCCUGUGAGGGGAGUGAAAUAGAACCUGAAACCGUGUACGUACAAGCAGUAGGAGCAGGCUUUGUCCUGUGACUGCGUACCUUUUGUAUAAUGGGUCAGCGACUUAUAUUCAGUGGCAAGGUUAACCAUCUAGGGGAGCCGUAGGGAAACCGAGUCUUAACUGGGCGUUCAGUCUCUGGAUAUAGACCCGAAACCAGGUGAUCUAGCCAUGGGCAGGUUGAAGGUUGAGUAACAUCAACUGGAGGACCGAACCGACUAAUGUUGAAAAAUUAGCGGAUGACUUGUGGCUAGGGGUGAAAGGCCAAUCAAACCUGGAGAUAGCUGGUUCUCCCCGAAAGCUAUUUAGGUAGCGCCUCGGACGAAUACUACUGGGGGUAGAGCACUGUUAAGGCUAGGGGGUCAUCCCGACUUACCAACCCUUUGCAAACUCCGAAUACCAGUAAGUACUAUCCGGGAGACACACGGCGGGUGCUAACGUCCGUCGUGGAGAGGGAAACAACCCAGACCGCCAGCUAAGGUCCCAAAUUACUACUAAGUGGGAAACGAUGUGGGAAGGCUCAGACAGCCAGGAUGUUGGCUUAGAAGCAGCCAUCAUUUAAAGAAAGCGUAAUAGCUCACUGGUCGAGUCGGCCUGCGCGGAAGAUGUAACGGGGCUAAGUA
This 937-nucleotide ribosomal RNA is filed under the name Vibrio alginolyticus. RNAcentral describes it as "partial 23S ribosomal RNA". It matches the Rfam family "Bacterial large subunit ribosomal RNA", at positions 200 to 1188 of the family's 2925-position model. Lineage: Bacteria; Pseudomonadati; Pseudomonadota; Gammaproteobacteria; Vibrionales; Vibrionaceae. The record is from RNAcentral.